UUUAUCCCACGGAUCAUGCGACUCUAUUCCAGAACAGGGGAAGACGCUGGGACGUUGGGGAGUUCAUGAGAUCAAGAUGGGAUUCUAUUCCGAAGAAGGGGUAAGGCUAUCACAGACGUGGACGACAGAGUCAAUCCGAACGACUGGCAUGCUGCGGGAUUGGUUUUGUGAGAGGAAAUCUGGGAUACAAGCUAGAUUUGCAUCUAUCUUGGCUGAGAACAUGUCCACUCGGCUGGGAAUGAAUCCAGAUGAAGACGUGGCUUUGGUUGUUUCGGAUAAGGAAAUCAUCCUUGGGUCUCGGCUCUGUUCCGGUUGUGGAGAAUGUGAUCCGAUUGGGAACAGGGGAUGCUGGGAUUAAGGAUGAUGCGGACGGUAAAGGAUGGUUGCUGAGAUAUUGGGAUAAGGUUGAUUGCAACGGGAUGAAGCUUGGAGUUGGUUCUGUGAUGAAGAAAUGAUGGGAAGAUGACACGGACGGGAGAAGAUAUGGCUUUCGGCUGGGAAUAGGUUCAUGUGGCUGGAGUGUUAUUUUUUAUUUUUGAAUGGGGAAGGGACUUGGUUUGGAAGGAAUAAGGGAGUCGGUUGUUGAGCCCAAUGUUGAAAGAAAUAAGGAAGUUGGGAGAGUAAUGAAACGGAUCUGUGAGCUAAGAUAUUGGGAGAUCAACAUGGGACAGCUGGGAUCAAACUUGGAGCAUUAAUCGCUAAGCACUUAGAGGGUGAUGUGGACACAGGUUCAGCUGCAAACGCGACCUGCACACAUUAGUUCAAACAUCAUCCCAAUUAAUUCGACUUGACCUGCACACAUUAGACUUAAUCAUUAAAUAAUUAAAUCAACUCGAAUCACCUCUUAUAAUUUUUAAAAUGCAAUGAUGAUGGUAACAAAUAUUUAAUGGUUAAAUUUACGAAAUAUGCAAAUUAAAAUAAUGAUAAGUGCUAUGAAUAAAAGGUUAAUUUAUGCAUUAUUUAGCACUUAUCACACCCCCCAACCUACAUUUUGUUAGUCCUCGAGCAAAAUAAAAAAAAACUAACUCACUUUCGCAGGAAUCGCGAUUGCAUUUACCGUAUGCAAUAAGGCUUUAAACCCCUAGGUGGCCCUAGUAGACGAGUUUUGUCUCGUGAGGAUUUCCGGCUCAGAUACCCACAAACUGUUGUCUCUACCUAAUGAAUUUGUUUUAUUGCUUUAUAAAAUCUAAUUUUAAAUGCAUAAGUGCCAAGAAUUUUAAAAGCACACAAAGUUUUAAUUACUAAGUCAGCCCAAACCUAAAUCAGUAUGCAAUUUAAGUUGAAGUCAUUAAGUUUCUGUUAGAGAGUUGUAAGACUAAUUUAUACUUAGGUGCUCGGUGAUAUCUGGACCAUACACAAGCUAAGAUUUUAGAUCCCCAAAAUACUGCUAAAGCUAGUAAUUUUCAAGAAUUGGUCAGAUAAGACCUAAUCACUGAUUCAAAAUCAUCCUAUCUUGCAGGAUUUCGAGAGUUGUGGAUGUUUACUUUAAUAUCUCAUGGGCUUUAUCUGUAAUAUUCCAGUUUACUCGAAUUUUUACAACGACGGCUUUCACACUAUCGUCUUUUUCAAGGUCAAUAUUAUAUUUUUUUUCUCUUUUUUU
Molecule: long non-coding RNA, 1600 nt
Filed under: Phoenix dactylifera (date palm)
Lineage: Eukaryota; Viridiplantae; Streptophyta; Magnoliopsida; Arecales; Arecaceae
Description: long non-coding RNA (PDAC_LNC013234)
Source: RNAcentral